GAGGCCGAAAGGCGUAGUCGAUGGGAAACAGGUUAAUAUUCCUGUACUUGGUGUUACUGCGAAGGGGGGGCGGAGAAGGCUAUGUUGGCCGGGCGACGGUUGUCCCGGUUUAAGCGUGUAGGCUGGUUUUCCAGGCAAAUCCGGAAAAUCAAGGCUGAGGCGUGAUGACGAGGCACUACGGUGCUGAAGCAACAAAUGCCCUGCUUCCAGGAAAAGCCUCUAAGCAUCAGGUAACAUCAAAUCGUACCCCAAACCGACACAGGUGGUCAGGUAGAGAAUACCAAGGCGCUUGAGAGAACUCGGGUGAAGGAACUAGGCAAAAUGGUGCCGUAACUUCGGGA
This 341-nucleotide ribosomal RNA is filed under the name Escherichia coli. Its description in RNAcentral is "bacterial LSU rRNA". It matches the Rfam family "Bacterial large subunit ribosomal RNA", at positions 1398 to 1741 of the family's 2925-position model. Lineage: Bacteria; Pseudomonadati; Pseudomonadota; Gammaproteobacteria; Enterobacterales; Enterobacteriaceae. The record is from RNAcentral.